GCGGCUUUGUGACGUUCUCCGGGAAACACUUUGGUUAGCGGUCGCCUCCACUCGUCGACAUGAGAGCCAAGUGGCGAAAGAAGCGCAUGCGCAGGCUGAAGCGUAAAAGGAGGAAGAUGAGGCAGAGGUCCAAGUAAACUGUCUUCUCUGCCAUGGCUGUCACUUCCAAUGUUUGAACCAAGCGGACCAGAUGAGCACAGCCAGAGACCCAGGAACCCCCCCUCCCUCCCAACAUCUAGUCUUGAAGCCAGCAGUGUCCAAAUCGACCUGAUGCAGCACAGCAGCAGCUGAUCGAUGCCACAGAGCUGAUCCAGGACCUGCUGGAUGUCAGGCUUUUCCACUGGGACUUUCUGAACUCCUUGUUCCUAAUUCCUCAACUUUUUUCAUUUGUUUUUGUUAUUGAUUAAAGGUUUUGGUUUAAAAAACAGAA
This is a long non-coding RNA of Limanda limanda (common dab), 430 nucleotides long. RefSeq lists it as uncharacterized. The record is from RefSeq and is a predicted model, not a curated record. The transcript is spliced from 4 exons. NCBI's taxonomy places the organism in Eukaryota, Metazoa, Chordata, Actinopteri, Pleuronectiformes, Pleuronectidae.